UGAGGAAUAUUGGUCAAUGGACGCAAGUCUGAACCAGCCAAGUAGCGUGCAGGAUGACGGCCCUAUGGGUUGUAAACUGCUUUUAUAUGGGGAUAAAGUGGGGAACGUGUUCCCUUUUGCAGGUACCAUAUGAAUAAGGACCGGCUAAUUCCGUGCCAGCAGCCGCGGUAAUACGGAAGGUUCGGGCGUUAUCCGGAUUUAUUGGGUUUAAAGGGAGCGUAGGCGGUUUGGUAAGCGUGUUGUGAAAUGUAGGAGCUCAACUUCUAGAUUGCAGCGCGAACUGUCAGACUUGAGUGCGCACAACGUAGGCGGAAUUCAUGGUGUAGCGGUGAAAUGCUUAGAUAUCAUGAAGAACGCCGAUUGCGAAGGCAGCUUACGGGAGCGCAACUGACGCUGAAGCUCGAAGGUGCGGGUAUCGAACAGG
Molecule: ribosomal RNA, 424 nt
Filed under: Verrucomicrobiota bacterium
Lineage: Bacteria; Pseudomonadati; Verrucomicrobiota
Description: Verrucomicrobia bacterium partial 16S ribosomal RNA
Rfam family: Bacterial small subunit ribosomal RNA
Source: RNAcentral